GGUGGUUUUUGUUCAGCUGCAGCAAGUAUUGAAGUGCCCUGGGGGUAGGGACGGUGUUUUUACACCUGUAGAGCGUGCUCUAAGAAUCUACGUGUAUGUGUGUGCGUUUGUGGGAGGGAGAGGAGGGAAGGAGAGGGUGGUCUGUGCAUCCUUUUUGACACAGCAGUAGUACUAUUUCAUCAUCUCUGGGCAGGUGUUAAAGCCAUGAGUCAGUGUACUGUCUUUAUUGGGUUGGCGAUAUUAGCAAACUUUGGUCACCGAUGCCUUCUAUGUGGCUCUUUUUGCCUGCAUUCACCGUCACCUUCCUUUCUUUUUCCUUAUUC
RNAcentral lists this unclassified non-coding RNA (323 nucleotides) under Hevea brasiliensis (rubber tree). Lineage: Eukaryota; Viridiplantae; Streptophyta; Magnoliopsida; Malpighiales; Euphorbiaceae. The record is from RNAcentral.